UAUGACGAGGAAUUCCUUAUCUCCUUUGAAAUUGUCACUGGCGUGCAGUCAGAAUUAAAACCACAUACGGUACAGUCGUUAAAGGAAGCAAGGUACAAGUUCACUUUUAGAUUUAUAAGCGUGUGAAAAGCAUCCAGACAUGAAGACUGUAAUGUUUCUGUUUCUGCUCAUUACGGCGGCGCUGUUGGCAAAUGUGAGCGCCCGAAAAACUAUCAAAACAGUGCCUCAAUGCCUCGGCGAGAAAGUUGCCCUUUGUAAAGUCAAUCCAUGCCUCACUGUGAGAUGUAAAGUUCCGGGGGCCGUCUGUAUGAAAAAUGAAUGUGGAAAAUGUGGAACCGACUGGUACCUGAAGGGAAGGAUGGUAUUUGAAUGCAGGACAUAAAGGACGUCUUGAACUUGCAUGUAUAUACAUGGCUCAAAGACCAUGCCGAUACGUAUGUGAAAUACACAAGAUAGAAAACUGA
Lineus longissimus is the source of this 464-nucleotide long non-coding RNA. RefSeq lists it as uncharacterized. Lineage: Eukaryota; Metazoa; Nemertea; Pilidiophora; Heteronemertea; Lineidae. The transcript has 4 exons. The record is from RefSeq and is a predicted model, not a curated record.